RNAcentral lists this ribosomal RNA (496 nucleotides) under uncultured bacterium. Its description in RNAcentral is "partial 16S ribosomal RNA". It matches the Rfam family "Bacterial small subunit ribosomal RNA", at positions 29 to 507 of the family's 1533-position model. The record is from RNAcentral.
AUGAACGCUGGCGGCGUGCCUAAUACCUGCAAGUCGAGCGAACAGACGAGGAGCUUGCUCCUCUGACGUUAGCGGCGGACGGGUGAGUAACACGUGGAUAACCUACCUAUAAGACUGGGAUAACUUCGGGAAACCGGAGCUAAUACCGGAUAAUAUAUUGAACUGCAUGGUUCAAUAGUGAAAGACGGUUUUGCUGUCACUUAUAGAUGGAUCCGCGCCGCAUUAGCUAGUUGGUAAGGUAACGGCUUACCAAGGCAACGAUGCGUAGCCGACCUGAGAGGGUGAUCGGCCACACUGGAACUGAGACACGGUCCAGACUCCUACGGGAGGCAGCAGUAGGGAAUCUUCCGCAAUGGGCGAAAGCCUGACGGAGCAACGCCGCGUGAGUGAUGAAGGUCUUCGGAUCGUAAAACUCUGUUAUUAGGGAAGAACAAAUGUGUAAGUAACUAUGCACGUCUUGACGGUACCUAAUCAGAAAGCCACGGCUAACUACGUG